This 253-nucleotide ribosomal RNA is filed under the name uncultured bacterium. Its description in RNAcentral is "partial 16S ribosomal RNA". It matches the Rfam family "Bacterial small subunit ribosomal RNA", at positions 524 to 776 of the family's 1533-position model. The record is from RNAcentral.
UACGUAGGGGGCUAGCGUUGUCCGGAAUCAUUGGGCGUAAAGAGCGUGUAGGCGGCCCGGUAAGUCCGCUGUAAAAGUCAAAGGCUCAACCUUUGAAUGUCAGUGGAUACUGCCGGGCUAGAGUCCGGAAGAGGCGAGUGGAACUCCUGGUGUAGCGGCGGAAUGCGCAGAUAUCAGGAAGAACACCCGUGGCUAAGGCGGCUCUCUAGUACGGUACUGACGCUGAGACGCGAAAGCGUGGGGAGCGAACAGG